UACUGAUGAUGUGGACAGUCUUGAAAAAAAGAUAUGAACCUCUCCCAAGCAUGAUAUAAAUUUUCAUUUGACUUCUGCUUGAAGCUUAAUAUCUCACUGCGUAAUCU
This is a non-coding RNA of Capsicum annuum, 107 nucleotides long. NCBI's taxonomy places the organism in Eukaryota, Viridiplantae, Streptophyta, Magnoliopsida, Solanales, Solanaceae. The record is from Rfam.